RNAcentral lists this ribosomal RNA (320 nucleotides) under uncultured bacterium. RNAcentral's name for it is "bacterial SSU rRNA". It matches the Rfam family "Bacterial small subunit ribosomal RNA", at positions 470 to 789 of the family's 1533-position model. The record is from RNAcentral.
AGACGGUAUUUGAGGAGGAAGCCCCGGCUAACUACGUGCCAGCAGCCGCGGUAAUACGUAGGGGGCAAGCGUUGUCCGGAAUGAUUGGGCGUAAAGGGCGCGUAGGCGGCCUGUUAAGUCUGGAGUGAAAGUCCUGCUUUUAAGGUGGGAAUUGCUUUGGAUACUGAUGGGCUUGAGUGCAGGAGAGGUAAGUGGAAUUCCCAGUGUAGCGGUGAAAUGCGUAGAGAUUGGGAGGAACACCAGUGGCGAAGGCGACUUACUGGACUGUAACUGACGCUGAGGCUCGAAAGCGUGGGGAGCAAAUAGGAUUAGAUACCCUG